Gopherus flavomarginatus (Mexican gopher tortoise) is the source of this 497-nucleotide long non-coding RNA. RefSeq lists it as uncharacterized. The record is from RefSeq and is a predicted model, not a curated record. The transcript has 2 exons. NCBI's taxonomy places the organism in Eukaryota, Metazoa, Chordata, Testudines, Testudinidae.
GGUUUCAGCGCAAACGGCUCCUUGCGCCUCUGGCUUUUGCAGUGGGAGUUUUACCCUGCCUGCAGUCUCAGCUAGAACCAACUGAAUGUCACCUGGUGCCUGACGCUCUCCAGGGCAGGGCAGUCGUACACUGGCACUGCCCCUGCUGUAGCUGAUCAGUGAGAAGGGGAUGUUAGGCUGCAGCAGAAUCCGGCCUCGUUCACCAGCUCCUCCCCUCCCUGCAAUGAGUCACACAGUGCAGACAGCAUCUGUCCUCUCAUUUUAUUAUCUUUCUAAACGGAUAAACAACAGGCACCAUUUCUGAGCUUAAAAUCCAUCCUGCUCCUUACAGAAUAAGUGAUCCCACCCACUGCAUGCCUCUGCUGGUGCACCCUGGUUUGUUUUCCGUAGGGUCUCCCAGGAGGGAUGGGCUGUGCAGGCUGGUUUGUUUUCCGUAGGGUCUCCCAGGAGGGAGGGGCUCUGCAGGCUGGUUUGUUCUGGUAGGACCGCCGCAGGCA